UAUGGCGACCGGCGCACGGGUGAGUAACACGUAUCCAACCUGCCGAUGACUCGGGGAUAGCCUUUCGAAAGAAAGGAUUAAUACCCGAUGGCAUAGUUCUUCCGCAUGGUAGAACUAUUAAAGAAUUUCGGUCAUCGAUGGGGAUGCGUUCCAUUAGCUUGUUGGCGGGGUAACGGCCCACCAAGGCAUCGAUGGAUAGGGGUUCUGAGAGGAAGGUCCCCCACAUUGGAACUGAGACACGGUCCAAACUCCUACGGAAGGCAGCAG
This 267-nucleotide ribosomal RNA is filed under the name uncultured bacterium. RNAcentral describes it as "partial 16S ribosomal RNA". It matches the Rfam family "Bacterial small subunit ribosomal RNA", at positions 87 to 354 of the family's 1533-position model. The record is from RNAcentral.